UGAGUUGUGGCUCAGUGGUAGAGCACUUGCCUGGCAUGUGUGAGGCACUGGGUUCAAUCCUCAGCACCACAU
RNAcentral lists this transfer RNA (72 nucleotides) under Ictidomys tridecemlineatus (thirteen-lined ground squirrel). RNAcentral describes it as "Spermophilus tridecemlineatus (thirteen-lined ground squirrel) tRNA". It matches the Rfam family "tRNA". Rfam says of the family: Transfer RNA (tRNA) molecules are approximately 80 nucleotides in length. Their secondary structure includes four short double-helical elements and three loops (D, anti-codon, and T loops). Further hydrogen bonds mediate the characteristic L-shaped molecular structure. tRNAs have two regions of fundamental functional importance: the anti-codon, which is responsible for specific mRNA codon recognition, and the 3' end, to which the tRNAs corresponding amino acid is attached (by aminoacyl-tRNA synthetases). tRNAs cope with the degeneracy of the genetic code in two manners: having more than one tRNA (with a specific anti-codon) for a particular amino acid; and 'wobble' base-pairing, i.e. permitting non-standard base-pairing at the 3rd anti-codon position. Lineage: Eukaryota; Metazoa; Chordata; Mammalia; Rodentia; Sciuridae. The record is from Rfam by way of RNAcentral.